AUGUGCUGUCCUCAUGUUGUAUGCGGUAGAUGUGGUCUUAAUGGGCAUCUUGUUCCUAUUUGCAACACUGUGCUUCCUUGGGAAUGUGUGGCUCCUAUGUGUGGAUUUCAAGCUAAGGGAAAGGGGUUCUUCUAUAUCCAUGAUGCUAGUACACCUAACCAGAACACUGAUAGGAACAGAUAUAUUGUGAUCACUGUGGUUGAGGGGCAAGCUAGUGGCUGACAGUUAGAGGAAUUUUUUAAUGCUUACAUUAACACAAAAUGGAAAUGCUCAGCUAGAUCGAUUGUGCUCAAUACUUUUGUAAUGAGAUUUCCUUCAUCCAGAGAUGUUGACAAAGCUUGUUUUGCUGAAACCAUGAACAUUAAAAGUUGUGGGGCUGUGGUGGGUCUUAAAAAGUGGUCUGAAUCUGUUGGUGCCAAGGGUGUACUUAACAUUGCUUGGGUUAAUGUAAGCAACAUUCCUCUGGACAAAAGACAUGAAAAAAUAUAG
This 489-nucleotide ribosomal RNA is filed under the name Triticum aestivum (bread wheat). RNAcentral describes it as "partial small subunit ribosomal RNA". Lineage: Eukaryota; Viridiplantae; Streptophyta; Magnoliopsida; Poales; Poaceae. The record is from RNAcentral.